RNA transcript from Lemur catta (Ring-tailed lemur), 10676 nucleotides. It is a transcript of the gene named huntingtin, with no coding region annotated. The transcript has 68 exons. The record is from RefSeq and is a predicted model, not a curated record. NCBI's taxonomy places the organism in Eukaryota, Metazoa, Chordata, Mammalia, Primates, Lemuridae.
GAGCCGCGGGGGCUGCCGGGCCGGGUCCAAGAUGGCCGGGCGCCUCGGUUCGGCGUUUACCCCGCGGCCGCGAGCCCCAUUCAUUGCCCCGCUGCUGAGCGGUGCCGCAAGCCGGCCCAAGGAUUCUGGGGGCUGCCCUCCGGGGCAGGAGGCCACCAUGGCGACCCUGGAAAAGCUGAUGAAGGCCUUCGAGUCUCUCAAGUCCUUCCAGCAACAGCAACAGCAGCAGCAGCAGCCGCCGCCGCCGCCACCACCUCAGCCUCCUCAGCCCUCGCCGCAGGCACAGCCGCCGCCGCCGCCUCAGCCACAGCCGCCCCCGCCGCCGCCCCCGCCGCCGCCCGGCCCGGCGGUGGCUGAGGAACCAUUGCACCGACCAAAGAAAGAACUUUCAGCCACCAAGAAAGACCGUGUGAAUCAUUGUCUGACAAUAUGUGAAAACAUAGUGGCACAGUCUCUCAGAAAUUCUCCAGAAUUUCAGAAACUUCUGGGCAUCGCUAUGGAACUGUUUCUGCUGUGCAGUGAUGAUGCGGAGUCAGAUGUCAGGAUGGUGGCUGAUGAGUGCCUCAACAAAGUUAUAAAAGCUUUGAUGGAUUCCAAUCUUCCAAGGUUGCAGCUUGAGCUCUAUAAGGAAAUUAAAAAGAAUGGCGCCCCUCGAAGUCUCCGUGCCGCCCUGUGGAGAUUUGCUGAGCUGUCUCACCUGGUUCGGCCUCAGAAAUGCAGGCCUUACCUGGUGAACCUCCUGCCGUGCCUGACUCGAACAAGCAAGAGACCUGAGGAAUCAGUCCAGGAGACCUUGGCUGCAGCUGUUCCCAAAAUUAUGGCUUCUUUUGGCAAUUUUGCAAAUGACAAUGAAAUUAAGGUUUUAUUAAAGGCUUUCAUAGUGAAUCUGAAGUCCAGUUCCCCUACUAUUCGGCGGACAGCAGCUGGGUCAGCAGUGAGCAUCUGUCAGCACUCAAGAAGGACACAGUAUUUUUAUAGCUGGCUACUAAAUGUGCUUUUAGGUUUGCUAGUUCCUGUUGAAGAUGAACACUCCACCCUCCUGAUCCUGGGCGUGCUGCUCACAUUGAGGUAUUUGGUGCCCUUGCUGCAGCAGCAGGUCAAGGACACCAGCCUCAAAGGCAGUUUUGGGGUGACACGGAAAGAGAUGGAAGUCUCUCCCUCUGCAGAGCAGCUUGUUCAGGUUUAUGAACUGACCUUGCAUCACACACAGCACCAAGACCACAAUGUCGUGACUGGAGCCCUGGAACUCCUGCAGCAGCUCUUCAGAACUCCCCCACCGGACCUCCUGCAAGGCCUGACCACGCCAGGUGGCCUUGGGCAGCUCACUGCGGCUAAAGAUGAGUCUAGUGGCCGAAGUCGUAGUGGGAGUAUUGUGGAACUUAUAACUGGAGGGGGUUCCUCAUGCAGCCCUGUUCUUUCAAGAAAACAAAAAGGCAGAGUGCUCCUAAGCGAAGAAGCAGCGUUGGAAGAUGACUCUGAAUCGAGGUCAGACGCCAGCAGCUCUGCCUUUGCAGGUAGUUCUGCCUCUGUGAAAGAUGAGAUCGGAGGAGAGCUGGCUGCUUCUUCAGGGGUCUCCACUCCGGGGUCAGCUGGUCAUGACAUCAUCACUGAGCAGCCGCGGUCACAGCACACGCUGCAGGCAGACUCGGUGGAUCUGACCAGCUGUGACUUGACGAGUGCUGCCACCGAUGGGGAUGAGGAGGACAUCUUGAGCCACAGCUCCAGCCAAGUCAGCGCUGUCCCAUCUGACCCUGCCAUGGACCUCAAUGAUGGGACCCAGGCCUCCUCACCCAUCAGCGACAGCUCCCAGACCACCACCGAAGGGCCCGAUUCAGCUGUGACCCCUUCAGACAGUUCUGAAAUUGUGUUAGAUGGUGCUGACAGCCAGUAUUUGGGCGUGCAGAUCGGACAGCCCCAGGAUGAAGAUGAGGAAACUGCCAGUAUUGUUCCUGAUGAGGCCUCGGAUGCUUUCAGAAACUCUUCAAUCGCCCUUCAACAAGCACAUUUAUUGAAAAACAUGGGUCACAGCAGGCAGCCUUCUGACAGCAGUAUAGAUAAAUUUGUGUCAAGAGAUGAAGCUGCUGAACUAGGUGAUCAAGAAAACAAGCCUUGCCGCAUCAAAGGUGACAUAGGACAGCCUGCUGAUGACGAUUCUGUGCCUCUUGUCUAUUGUGUCCGUCUUUUAUCUGCCUCAUUUUUGCUAACGGGGGAAAAGAAUGUGCUGGUUCCGGACAGGGACGUGAGGGUCAGUGUGAAGGCCCUGGCACUCAGCUGUAUUGGGGCAGCCGUGGCCCUUCAUCCAGAAUCUUUCUUCAGCAAACUGUAUAAAGUACCUCUUGACACCAUGGAAUACCCUGAGGAGCAGUAUGUCUCAGACAUCCUGAACUACAUUGAUCAUGGAGACCCACAGGUCCGAGGAGCCACUGCCAUCCUCUGUGGGACCCUCAUCUGCGCCAUCCUCAGCAGAUCCCGCUUCCACGUGGGAGACUGGAUGGGCACCAUUAGAACUCUAACAGGAAAUACAUUUUCUCUGGCGGACUGCAUUCCUUUGUUGCAGAAAACUUUGAAGGAUGAAUCCUCUGUUACUUGCAAGUUGGCUUGUACAGCUGUGAGGCAUUGUGUCAUGAGUCUCUGUAGCAGCAGCUACAGCGAAUUAGGAUUACAGCUGAUCAUCGACAUGCUGACCCUGAGGAAUAGUUCCUACUGGCUGGUGAGGACAGAGCUUUUGGAAACUCUUGCAGAGAUUGACUUUAGGCUGGUGAGCUUUUUGGAGGCAAAAGCAGAAAACUUGCACAGAGGGGCUCAUCAUUACACAGGGCUUUUAAAACUGCAAGAACGAGUGCUCAAUAACGUUGUCAUCUAUUUGCUUGGGGAUGAAGACCCCAGAGUGCGACAUGUUGCCGCAGCAUCGUUAAUGAGGCUUGUCCCAAAGCUGUUUUAUAAAGGCGACCAAGGACAAGCUGAUCCAGUAGUGGCCGUGGCAAGAGAUCAAAGCAGUGUUCACCUGAAACUUCUCAUGCACGAGACGCAGCCUCCAUCUCACUUCUCUGUCAGCACGAUAACCAGAAUAUAUAGAGGCUAUAACUUACUACCCAGCAUAACAGAUGUCACUAUGGAAAAUAACCUUUCAAGAGUUAUUGCAGCAGUUUCUCAGGAGCUAAUCACAUCAACCACAAAGGCACUCACAUUUGGAUGCUGUGAAGCUUUGUGUCUUCUUUCAACUGCCUUCCCAGUUUGCAUUUGGAGUUUAGGCUGGCAUUGUGGAGUACCCCCACUGAGUGCCUCAGAUGAUUCUAGAAAGAGCUGUACGGUUGGGAUGGCCACAAUGAUUCUUACCCUGCUUUCGUCAGCUUGGUUUCCAUUGGAUCUCUCAGCCCAUCAAGAUGCUUUGAUUUUGGCUGGAAAUUUGAUUGCAGCCAGUGCUCCCAAAUCUCUGAGAAGUUCAUGGACCUCUGAAGAGGAAGCCAACUCAGCAGCCAAUAAACAAGAGGAGGUCUGGCCAGCUCUGGGUGACCGGACCCUGGUGCCCAUGGUGGAGCAGCUUUUCUCCCACCUACUGAAGGUGAUUAAUAUCUGUGCUCAUGUCUUGGAUGAUGUGACUCCUGGACCGGCAAUAAAGGCAGCCUUACCUUCUCUAACAAACCCCCCUUCUUUAAGUCCCAUCCGACGAAAGGGAAAGGAAAAGGAACCAGAACAAGCAUCUGUCCCACUGAGUCCCAAGAAAGGCAGCGAGGCCAGUGCAGCUGCUAGACAACCUGAUCCCUCAGGGCCUGUUACAACAAGCAAAUCCUCAUCCUUGGGGAGUUUCUAUCAUCUUCCUUCAUACCUCAAACUGCACGAUGUCCUGAAAGCUACUCAUGCCAACUACAAGGUUACCUUGGAUCUUCAGAACAGUACUGAAAAGUUUGGGGGGUUUCUGCGUUCUGCCUUGGAUGUUCUCUCUCAGAUUCUAGAACUGGCGACACUGCAGGACAUUGGGAAGUGUGUUGAAGAGAUCCUGGGUUACCUAAAGUCCUGCUUUAGUCGAGAACCAAUGAUGGCAACUGUUUGUGUUCAACAAUUGUUGAAGACUCUCUUUGGGACAAACUUGGCCUCCCAGUUUGAUGGCUUAUCGUCCAACCCCAGCAAGUCUCAAGGCCGAGCACAACGCCUUGGCUCCUCCAGCGCAAGGCCAGGCUUGUAUCACUACUGCUUCAUGGCUCCGUACACCCACUUCACCCAGGCCCUUGCGGAUGCCAGCCUGAGGAACAUGGUGCAAGCGGAGCAGGAACAUGACACGUCAGGAUGGUUUGAUGUACUCCAAAAAGUAUCUACCCAGCUGAAGACAAAUCUCACGAGUGUCGCAAAGAACCGUGCAGAUAAGAAUGCUAUUCAUAAUCACAUUCGUUUAUUCGAGCCUCUUGUUAUAAAAGCUUUAAAGCAGUACACGACAACAACAUCUGUGCAAUUACAGAAGCAGGUUUUGGAUUUGUUAGCACAGCUGGUUCAGUUGCGGGUUAAUUACUGUCUUCUGGAUUCAGAUCAGGUGUUUAUUGGCUUUGUGUUGAAACAGUUCGAAUACAUUGAAGUGGGCCAGUUCAGGGAAUCAGAGGCAAUUAUUCCAAACAUCUUUUUCUUCCUGGUAUUACUAUCUUAUGAACGCUAUCAUUCAAAACAAAUCAUUGGAAUUCCUAAAAUCAUUCAGCUCUGUGAUGGCAUCAUGGCCAGUGGGAGGAAGGCGGUAACGCACGCCAUACCGGCUCUGCAGCCCAUAGUCCACGACCUCUUUGUAUUAAGAGGAACAAAUAAAGCUGAUGCAGGAAAAGAGCUUGAAACUCAAAAGGAGGUGGUGGUCUCAAUGUUACUGAGACUUAUCCAGUACCAUCAGGUGUUGGAGAUGUUUAUUCUCGUCUUGCAGCAGUGCCACAAGGAGAAUGAAGACAAAUGGAAGCGGCUGUCUCGACAAAUAGCUGACAUCAUCCUCCCAAUGUUAGCCAAACAACAGAUGCACAUUGACUCUCAUGAAGCCCUUGGAGUGUUAAAUACUCUGUUUGAGAUUUUGGCCCCUUCCUCACUGCGUCCCGUGGACAUGCUAUUACGGAGUAUGUUUGUCACCCCAAGCACAAUGGCAUCUGUGAGCACUGUUCAGCUGUGGAUAUCAGGAAUCCUAGCCAUUUUGCGGGUUCUGAUUUCCCAGUCAACUGAAGACAUUGUUCUUUCUCGAAUUCAGGAGCUCUCAUUCUCCCCAUAUUUAGUCUCCUGCCCAGUGAUUAAUAGGUUAAGACAUGGGGAGAGUAACUCAACAUCAGAAGAACACAGUGAAGGGAGGCAAAUGAAGAACUUGCCAGAAGAAACAUUUUCAAGGUUUCUAUUACAACUAGUUGGUACUCUUUUAGAGGACAUCGUUACAAAACAGCCAAAGGUGGAAAUGAGUGAACAGCAACAUACUUUCUAUUGCCAAGAGCUAGGCACGCUGCUGAUGUGUCUGAUCCACAUCUUCAAGUCUGGAAUGUUCCGGAGAAUCACAGCAGCUGCCACUAGACUCUUCACCAGCGACGGCUGUGACGGCAGUUUCUACACCCUGGAGAGCUUGAACCUGCGGGUGCGCUCCAUGGUCCCCACACACCCGGCCCUGGUGCUGCUCUGGUGUCAGAUCCUGCUGCUUGUCAACCACACCGACCACUGCUGGUGGGCAGAGGUGCAGCAGACCCCAAAAAGACACAGUCUGUCCAGCACGAAGUUACUUAGUCCCCAGAUGUCUGGAGAAGAAGAGGAUUCUGACUUGGCAGCCAAACUUGGAAUGUGCAAUAGAGAAAUAGUACGAAGAGGGGCUCUCAUUCUCUUCUGUGAUUAUGUCUGUCAGAACCUUCAUGACUCAGAGCACUUAACUUGGCUCAUUGUGAAUCACAUUCAAGACCUGAUCAGCCUGUCCCACGAGCCUCCGGUGCAGGACUUUAUUAGUGCUGUUCAUCGGAACUCUGCUGCCAGCGGCCUAUUCAUCCAGGCAAUUCAGUCUCGUUGUGAAAAUCUUUCAUCCCCGACCACUCUGAAGAAGACUCUUCAGUGCUUGGAGGGGAUCCAUCUCAGCCAGUCAGGCGCUGUGCUCACGCUGUAUGUGGACAGGCUUCUGUGCACCCCCUUCCGCGCGCUGGGUCGCAUGGUCGAUAUUUUGGCCUGUCGCCGGGUAGAAAUGCUUUUGGCUGCAAAUUUGCAGAGCAGCACGGCACAGCUGCCAGAAGAAGAACUCAGCAGAAUCCAGGAGCACCUUCAGCGCAGUGGGCUCGCCCGAAGACACCAAAGGCUUUAUUCCCUGCUGGACAGGUUUCGUCUCUCCACGGUACAAGACUCACUUAGUCCCUCUCCUCCAGUUUCUUCCCACCCGCUGGACGGGGACGGGCACGUGUCACUGGAAACAGUGAGUCCAGACAAAGACUGGUACAUGCGUCUUGUCAAAUCCCAGUGUUGGACCAGGUCAGAUUCUGCACUGCUGGAAGGUGCAGAGCUGGUGAAUCGGAUUCCUGCCGAAGAAAUGAGUGCCUUCAUGAUGAACUCGGAGUUCAACCUAAGCCUAAUAGCUCCAUGCUUAAGCCUAGGCAUGAGUGAGAUUUCUGGUGGCCAGAAGAGUCCCCUUUUGGAAGCGGCCUGUGAGGUGACUCUGGGUCGUGUGGCCAGCCUUGUUCAGCAGCUCCCUGCUGUCCACCACGUCUUCCAGCCCUGCCUGCCUUCAGAGCCCACGGCCUACUGGAGCAAGCUGAGUGAUCUAUUUGGGGAUGCCACGUGGUAUCAAUCCCUGACCACUCUGGCCCGGGCCCUGGCACAAUACCUAAUGGUGGUCUCCAAGCUGCCCAGUCACUUGCACCUUCCUCCUGAGAAGGAGAGGGACACGGUGAAGUUUGUGGUGAUGACCCUCGAGGCCCUGUCGUGGCAUUUGAUCCAUGAGCAGAUCCCGCUGAGUCUGGACCUCCAGGCAGGGCUGGACUGCUGCUGCCUGGCCCUGCAGCUGCCCGGCCUCUGGAGUGUGGUCUCCUCCACAGAGUUCGUGACCCAUGCCUGUUCCCUCAUCCACUGCGUGCACUUCAUCCUGGAAGCCAUUGCUGUGCAGCCUGGAGAGCAGCUUCUUAGUCCAGAAAGAAGGACCAGUGCUCCAAAGGCUGUCAGACAGGAGGAUGAGGUAGACUCAAACACACAGAAUCCUCAGUAUAUCACCUCAGCCUGUGAGAUGGUGGCAGAAAUGGUGGAGUCUCUGCAGUCAGUGUUGGCCUUGGGUCACAAAAGGAAUAGCAGCAUGCCAGCGUUUCUCACGCCGGUGCUCAAGAACAUCGUCAUCAGCCUGGCCCGCUUGCCCCUUGUCAACAGCUACACACGUGUGCCACCCCUGGUGUGGAAACUUGGGUGGUCACCCAAACCAGGAGGGGAUUUUGGCACAGCAUACCCUGAGAUCCCUGUGGAGUUUCUCCAGGAAAAGGAAGUAUUUAAGGAGUUCAUCUACCGCAUCAACACACUAGGGUGGACCAGUCGUACCCAGUUUGAAGAGACAUGGGCCACCCUCCUUGGUGUCCUGGUUACCCAGCCCCUCGUGAUGGAGCAGGAAGAGAGCCCACCAGAAGAAGACACGGAAAGGACCCAGAUCCAUGUCCUGGCCGUCCAGGCCAUCACCUCGCUGGUGCUUAGUGCGAUGACCGUGCCCGUGGCUGGCAACCCGGCUGUGAGCUGCUUGGAGCAGCAGCCCCGGAACAAGCCCCUGAAAGCUCUUGAUACCAGGUUUGGGAGGAAGCUGAGCAUUAUCCGUGGUAUUGUCGAGCAGGAGAUUCAAGCAAUGGUUUCGAAGAGAGAGAACAUUGCCACCCAUCACUUGUACCAGGCGUGGGAUCCUGUGCCUUCUCUGUCUCCGGCUACUACAGGUGCCCUCAUCAGCCACGACAAGCUGCUGCUGCAGAUCAACCCCGAGCGAGAGCUGGGGAACAUGAGCUACAAGCUUGGCCAGGUGUCCAUACAUUCUGUGUGGCUGGGGAACAACAUCACACCCCUGAGGGAAGAGGAGUGGGAUGAGGAAGAGGAAGAGGAGGCAGACAUCCCUGCACCUUCAUCACCACCCACGUCUCCAGUCAACUCCAGGAAGCACCGGGCUGGAGUUGACAUCCACUCCUGUUCCCAGUUUUUGCUCGAACUGUACAGUCGCUGGAUCCUGCCAUCGAGUUCAGCCAGAAGGACCCCAGUCAUCCUGAUCAGUGAAGUGGUUCGAUCCCUUCUAGUGGUCUCAGACUUGUUCACUGAACGCAAUCAGUUUGAGAUGAUGUAUUCGACGCUGACAGAACUGCGGAGGGUGCACCCUUCGGAAGACGAGAUUCUCGUUCAGUAUUUGGUGCCGGCCAUCUGUAAGGCGGCUGCCGUCCUCGGCAUGGACAAGGCUGUGGCAGAGCCGGUCAGCCGCCUGCUGGAGAGCACACUCAGGAGCAGUCACCUGCCCAGCAAGAUCGGAGCCCUGCAUGGCAUCCUCUACGUGCUGGAGUGCGACCUGCUGGACGACACUGCAAAGCAACUCAUCCCGGUCAUCAGUGACUAUCUCCUCUCCAACCUCAAAGGAAUAGCUCACUGCGUGAACACUCACAGCCAGCAGCACGUGCUGGUGAUGUGUGCCACCGCAUUCUACCUGGUUGAGAACUACCCUCUGGACGUGGGGCCAGAAUUCUCAGCAUCAAUAAUACAGAUGUGUGGGGCAAUGCUGUCUGGAAGUGAGGAGUGCACCCCCUCUGUCAUCUACCACUGCGCCCUCAGGGGCCUGGAGCGCCUCCUGCUCUCCGAGCAGCUCUCGCGGCUGGAUGCGGAGUCCCUGGCCAAGCUGAGUGUGGACAGAGUGAACGUGCACAGCCCACACCGGGCCAUGGCAGCCCUGGGCCUGAUGCUCACCUGCAUGUACACAGGAAAGGAGAAAAUCAGUCCAGGUAGAACCUCAGACCCUAACCCUGCAGCCCCAGACAGCGAGUCAGUGAUUGUUGCUAUGGAGCGAGUGUCUGUUCUUUUUGAUAGGAUCAGGAAAGGGUUUCCCUGUGAAGCCAGAGUGGUGGCCAGGAUCCUGCCUCAGUUUCUAGACGACUUCUUCCCACCCCAGGAUGUCAUGAACAAAGUCAUUGGAGAGUUUCUGUCCAACCAGCAGCCUUACCCACAGUUCAUGGCCACCGUGGUGUACAAGGUGUUUCAGACCCUGCACAGCACCGGGCAGUCAUCCAUGGUACGUGACUGGGUCAUGCUCUCCCUCUCCAACUUCACGCAGAGGACCCCAGUCGCCAUGGCCACGUGGAGUCUCUCCUGCUUCUUCGUCAGCGCUUCCACCAGCCCCUGGGUCGCGGCAAUCCUCCCACAUGUCGUCAGCAGGAUGGGCAAGCUGGAGCAGGUGGACGUGAACCUUUUCUGCCUGGUGGCCACAGACUUUUACAGACACCAGAUAGAAGAGGAGCUCGACCGCAGGGCCUUCCAGUCUGUGUUUGAGGUGGUCGCAGCUCCAGGAAGCCCAUACCACCGGCUGCUGACUUGUUUGCGAAAUGUCCACAAGGUCGCCACCUGCUGAGCCCGUUCUGGAGAGGCUGUGACGCAGUGGCGACUGGUGCCGAAGCCUCUGGGAGCCUGUGCCAAGCGCCUGCCUCCACCGGCCGGCUCAGUCACCACAGGCUUCCACUCACGCCAUGGGUGGCCAGGCAGUGUGCGUGUCUUUGCCACGUGGCAGAAGUGCUCUUCGCAGUGAGCACGUGUGCUCUUUCAGGAGGAAAGUGUGAAGCUGAAACACCUUGCAGACACCCAGAACGUAGCGUCAGACAAGGCUCUGUACCCUAAAGGACACCCCUCAGCACCUCCAUUGCCGGGGUUAUCUCAGAGCCUCGGAGUGAGCAGCUCCUCCUGAUGGAGCAGGGACGAGCCCUGCUGUCCAGCUCGGGGGCACAGAUCCUGAACACAGCAAUAACCAUUUCGAGGGCUGGAGUGAGCUUGGUACUGUGUGUUGGGGGAGUGGAGUUAGUCUUGUGCCACCUGUGAGCACCCUCCCUAGCGAACAUCCUCACUCGGGCUUUGUCCCUCCCUCCCUCCCUCCCUCUGCGAUGGGUGCCAGGACCGCAGCUGCUGGCCGGGCUGGACUUGGAGUUGUUCUCCGGUGGGGCAGCGUGUGUGAACGGGGAAACAGAAGACCUCGACAGCUGCCAGGGCUCAGUGGAGCUCGGGAUGGCUGGGGCGAGAAGGGGCCGCUCCCCUACUGGGCCUGGUACCACUGGGAUGAGAGAUCUGCCCAGAGAGCCAUGUGACAGCUGAAGGCCACCAGGAAGGUGCAGGGGCCACUCUUUCCCUGCUUGCCUGUCGCGUGCUAAUGCCGUUGAAGGAAACCCCUCUCUUCACUUGUUUCUGGGAGCAAAGGCUCCUGCUGCACACAGGUGGUGACCACCGGCCUCGGAGGAUCGAGCCAGCAUGGACCUGUCCACGGUGGCUGGCUCUGACCCUAGUGGGGCCUCCUGCCGGGUCUCCUGCUUCGUGCUGCAGGCAGAGUGGCCGGGAGCUAGUGGGGCUGUGAUGGGCAAGCCCGGAGCCCUGCCCAGACCUGACCACGUGCUUCCGGCAGGAAAGGGAAGGACUGACACGAGAUGUAUAUUUAAAAUUUUUUUUAUCUGCUGCAAACAUUGUACAUACAAAUUAAAGGAAAAAAUUAAACCAUGAAU